RNAcentral lists this small nucleolar RNA (177 nucleotides) under Hucho hucho (huchen). RNAcentral's name for it is "Small nucleolar RNA SNORA81 (ENSHHUG00000014546.1)". The record is from RNAcentral. Lineage: Eukaryota; Metazoa; Chordata; Actinopteri; Salmoniformes; Salmonidae.
AGCUUCUUUUAUCGCAGCCUACUAAAAUUGUGAGGGCAAAGCCUCACGGCUUAGCUUUUGCAAGCAUGUAAGCACGGCUUCACCAAGGAAGGACAGAAAAGGCACAGUGUCGCAAAUGAGGCUAGGGCAGACCUCUUAAUGUCCUUUGUGACCCGUUUCAGGAAACUAAGUGUAUGU